Molecule: ribosomal RNA, 253 nt
Filed under: uncultured bacterium
Lineage: Bacteria
Description: partial 16S ribosomal RNA
Rfam family: Bacterial small subunit ribosomal RNA
Source: RNAcentral
UACGUAGGGCGCAAGCGUUAUCCGGAAUUAUUGGGCGUAAAGAGCUCGUAGGCGGUUUGUCGCGUCUGCCGUGAAAGUCCGGGGCUCAACUCCGGAUCUGCGGUGGGUACGGGCAGACUAGAGUGCGGUAGGGGAGACUGGAAUUCCUGGUGUAGCGGUGAAAUGCGCAGAUAUCAGGAGGAACACCGGUGGCGAAGGCAGCUCGCUGGGACGGUACUGACGCUGAGGCGCGAAAGCGUGGGGAGCAAACAGG